Molecule: ribosomal RNA, 394 nt
Filed under: uncultured bacterium
Lineage: Bacteria
Description: bacterial SSU rRNA
Rfam family: Bacterial small subunit ribosomal RNA
Source: RNAcentral
GGAUUAGAAACCCUGGUAGUCCACGCCGUAAACGGUGGGUACUAGGUGUGGGGGACAUUCCACGUUCUCCGUGCCGCAGCUAACGCAUUAAGUACCCCGCCUGGGGAGUACGGUCGCAAGACUAAAACUCGAAGGAAUUGACGGGGCCCCGCACAAGCGGCGGAGCAUGCGGAUUAAUUCGAUGCAACGCGAAGAACCUUACCUGGGUUUGACAUAUACCGGAAACAUUCAGAGAUGGAUGCCCCUUUUGGUCGGUAUACAGGUGGUGCAUGGCUGUCGUCAGCUCGUGUCGUGAGAUGUUGGGUUAAGUCCCGCAACGAGCGCAACCCUCGUCCAAUGUUGCCAGCGGGUAAUGCCGGGGACUCAUUGGAGACCGCCGGGGCCAACUCGGAGG